Molecule: long non-coding RNA, 2182 nt
Organism: Salvia miltiorrhiza (redroot sage)
Lineage: Eukaryota; Viridiplantae; Streptophyta; Magnoliopsida; Lamiales; Lamiaceae
Exons: 3
Source: RefSeq, a predicted model, not a curated record
UGAAGCAACGACAAAUUCUCAAAAAUUAAUGCAUCUUUCUCCAACUUCUCUUCAUCUAUUUAUGCAUAAGGAUGCGAUUGUUUUCGAUUAUUGAAGCGGGUAGAAGAGAUCAAGAGAAGAAGUGCACGAGACUAGAUAUGAGAGCGACAACAUGAACGAUAUGAACGAUAUAUCUGGUGAUGAUCAGGAUGCCAAACCGUCAAGGGAUAAGAGAUCUACCAGUCAUAGAUAAGGCACAUUGCGAUUCGAAGUCCCGUCGUCUUUGUUUUCCCGUAGCACAGCCUCCUCAGCUCUCCAAUUUUGAGAUCGCGAAAAUGUGUGGCCACAUUUGAAAUUAAAACCCAUUUCUUAAAGUUGAUGGGGGUUGCCCUAAUUUCAAGCCAAAGGUAGACCAAUCGGCUGGCUGUUUCCAGCAAUUGAAUGGGGAAAAAUUUGGGCUCGCGUCAGGGAUUGUAAAUUCGACGACGAAAGAUGGUGAAAUUUUGAAGCGUGGAGUAUCCUCGAGAUAUUGAAACUGAUUUGGAUGUAUAACUAUAGUUAACAAAGCUGGAGCAAGAUAAGGAGGCAAGAGCGAUUGGGGCGGAGGUCGAUGCAGCAGUGAAGUGGAAUGUUUGGAGAUACAAAUGUUCCAACACAAGGUAGAUAAGCCUAAACUGUGAACUAUGAUUAAUCUCUAAUUUUAGUCGUCUAGCUGUUUAAUUUUGGCUUAGUGCACAUUUAUCUGAAAGUCAUAGAUCUAGAUGUGAAUAGUGUUUUGUAAGAUUAAGAUAAACACAUAACUGAAGAAGCUCAUGAAUCAUUUCUAUGACCCUCAAUUAGUUGAUUUGAACUCAAACAAUUGUUUCAGUGAAUUUAAUUGAACCAUGUUUCUAGAAAACAAGUUGAUAAGGUUUCUUAUAGUUUUUUGUACCUUGCAAUUUAUAAGUGAAGUUCUUGCAUGAACAUGAGGUAAUAUUUCUAUGUCUGUCCUUUUGAUUUUUUUUUGUUUCUUUAAAAUGUUCAUUGUAUGAUAAAUGAAAACAUAUUAGAAAGUGUUGUAUGUAGGCACAUUAUUUAUGUAGUUAAACUGUUGUGUUGUAUAUUUUGGUAUCAAGCAAUAUCUUCAAGUUGCGAAAGAAUUUACUUUAGUGCAUAUCCUACAAGAAAAUGAAUAUUAGGUGUUUUCGAGGAGGGGAAAUUAUAUUAAUUUGCAAGCAGUCUAUUUGAAAAUAAUAAACAACCGUAUAGCUUGAAGAGGCAUAGGCUCUAAGCUUUCGAGUUUAUUACGAUCAAUCUAGCUGAAUUUGGUUUACUGAUAGAGAAAUUAAGGAAAGUUUGGUAAUCAGAGGAGGUUCGAUCGAGCAUGGGCCUUAACAUGUCGGAAGAGGGAUGGGAGGAACGUCAGGAGCAUGGAUCCGUUCAUGUCUUCGAAGCUUUUGGUGGUGCUUCUAUGCUAAAGGGGAAGUAAAUAAAAAGGACAAGAAUUAAGUUCCGGAAGUGACAAAGUAACUAAUAAGUAGGGAUAUGGAGUUGGGCGGCGAUGGGAAGGGACUCGCUACAGAAGAAGUCUAUGAUGAAGGCGGAGACAGGGGAGAUGGAGUCCAGGGUGCACCGGACGUUGGGGUUGCUGUAGCGGAGGACCUCGAAGAUGAUUGCCUCCAUGGAGGGGAAGGCGUGAAGGUCGAGAGACACAUCGGAGAGGUGGUGGAAGGUGAUGGAGGGGACAGUGGUGGACGUAGUCCAUGGUUGAGCCGGUGUUGAAGGAGGGUGGCGCCACUAGGAUGAUGAUGGAUAGGGAGAGGUGGUGGUGGAGGAUGAAUUUGUCGAGCUCCACCAUGGACACCAGCUGGCCCAUUCUUGGAGAUGGGUAGAGGACUAUCAUCUUCAACUUCACUUAAUUCAUCUCAUGCAUGCUGCUUAUAUAUCAUCUAGCUACUAAUCAAGAUCACUACUGCUCAAUGUUUGAAGACAAUAAUGACCACAAUUUCACCUACCUUGGCAUAUAAACAUUGGCAUUUAUUAGAAUAUACCAGAAAUAUGUUAGUUAGCUUCUUCAUAACAGACUCAGUUAGAGUAGCAAACAAUUUUAAUGAGGUGGCAAGAUUAGUUAAAAGAUAUUUUAACUUAAAUGUAGAUGCAGUAUUGUAGCUCUAUAAAUAGAGCAUUAUCAAGAUGAAUAAAGUAAUCUCAUUUUCAUUCUUUA